AGCUCCAAUAGCGUAUAUUAAAGUUGUUGCAGUUAAAAAGCUCGUAGUCUGACCUAUUUGGCCUUUUCGUUUUGAUUUGCCUGCAUUGUUGAGACUUGGGAAGGCCUUCGGGCUAACCCAAUGUCUUUUGUGCGGGGGGCCAAAUUGUACUUCGGAGGAACUUGGGUUCUCUUCAUUGAGUGCCCUGUGGGAUUCCGAUAGUUUACUUUGAGAAAAAUAGAGUGUUCAAAGCAGGCGUUUUGCCCUUGAAUACGUUAGCAUGGGAUAAUGAAAUAGGACAUUGGUUCUCUAUUUCUGAUGGUUUGAAGGACCGAUGUAAUGAUUAAUAGGGACAGUUGGGGACAUUCAUAUUUCAUGGCUAGAGGUGAAAUUCUUGGAUUCAUGGAAGAUGAACUACUGC
This 400-nucleotide ribosomal RNA is filed under the name phytoplankton environmental sample. RNAcentral describes it as "partial small subunit ribosomal RNA". It matches the Rfam family "Eukaryotic small subunit ribosomal RNA", at positions 587 to 946 of the family's 1831-position model. The record is from RNAcentral.